GACCCGAUAGCUCAGCGGUAGAGCACUUGACGUAUGAAGUCAGGGGUCGUGGGUUCGAGUCUCGCUCGGGUCG
This is a non-coding RNA of Rhopilema esculentum, 73 nucleotides long. Lineage: Eukaryota; Metazoa; Cnidaria; Scyphozoa; Rhizostomeae; Rhizostomatidae. The record is from the annotation of a RefSeq genome assembly.